Molecule: long non-coding RNA, 675 nt
Organism: Mus spicilegus (steppe mouse)
Lineage: Eukaryota; Metazoa; Chordata; Mammalia; Rodentia; Muridae
Source: Ensembl
CAAACUCUCCCUUAAACUCAUUAGCAGAUUGCUCACAUAUGACUUGGCCCUUGGAGUUGACCUCUGGUCCAAUUACCCAGGGGUUAGUUCUUCCAUAGGCUUCUUUAUGAAUAACUGGCUGAGAAAUGUCCAUGUAGUGUCCAACUCCUACAAGAUGUUCUCAGAAACCUAUAAGGAUGACAGUUCACUCCAACCCCAUUCCUUGGAAGGGAAGUGAGUCUCUUCAUGACCAACUGUGGGCGUGAUGAUGUGUGAAGUUCUACGUCUAUGGAUCAGUGACGUAGCCCAAGAUCUCCCUUACCAGGAAGACCCUUUGCAUAUUAUGAUCAGAGUCUCUAAGGCCAUUUCCCAGAAGCCACGGCCAACUCUAGUGAGCAGCCACAUCUUGCAGUUUCCCAAGCAAGCAGGCACAAAGCAAGUGAAGAUCCAUAAUGGAUUUAGACCAACAUCAAAGGAUCAGUUCAUACAUGAACACACUGCAUCCUAUAGAGAAACCUAAAGCAAUCAAGGGCACAGAACAAUACCUUGAAGGAAGAGUUCAGAAUGCUGUUUUGCCGGGGCGAGUCUUAAGGUGGGAGGAAGGAGGCUUCAUUUCCCUCCUAAUUGUCGCUGCUGCUUUUGAUUUGCUUCCUGCUUCCCCCACCUUUUAAAAUGCUACAUCAUGAGUAUCUUCCU